CUUGCAAGGACUGGGACAGAAUCCUCAUUGUCCACAGGAGUACUAACACGGGAAACCCUGAGGAGCUUCUGGCUGAAGACUAUGAACAGACGGCACCUCCUUGUAACCUCUCUCUUGAGAGCCCUGGAAACGACUGUAUUCCGCCUUUUUGGCCCAUAAUAAACUGGAUGUCAGCACCCACAGCACAUUUGUCAUCUGCAAGUGAACUUACCAAUUGCUAAGUGGACAGACCCUAGUCCAUUUCCCUACAAACCCCAGGAUUCGGAGACUGCCUUGCCUUGUGGAAGCCUUCCUGCUUUGCCAGAUUUUUCCCUCCCUCCUCCCAAGCACUGGCCCAGACACCUCCUUUAACACUUCCUCUCCCUCUCCCACCUAAGACUCAGCAGUUACGAGCUCAUUUUUGCUGGAAUUGUUACUAUAGAUGUCAUAUGCAUCCCCCACCCCACCCCCUGCGCAACCCUUCAUCCAUUGCCUCAAGCCCAUGCAUAUCCAGUGUCUUAAUCCACGAGAGAGGCUGUAACAAAUUGCCUGGCCUGGGUCAUUUAUA
Non-coding RNA from Peromyscus maniculatus bairdii (prairie deer mouse), 547 nucleotides. The record is from RefSeq and is a predicted model, not a curated record. Lineage: Eukaryota; Metazoa; Chordata; Mammalia; Rodentia; Cricetidae.